RNAcentral lists this ribosomal RNA (468 nucleotides) under uncultured bacterium. Its description in RNAcentral is "partial 16S ribosomal RNA". It matches the Rfam family "Bacterial small subunit ribosomal RNA", at positions 28 to 507 of the family's 1533-position model. The record is from RNAcentral.
GACGAACGCUGGCGGCGUGCUUAACACAUGCAAGUCGAACGGAAAGGCCCUGCUUUUGUGGGGUGCUCGAGUGGCGAACGGGUGAGUAGCACGUGAGUAACCUGCCCUUGACUUUGGGAUAACUUCAGGAAACUGGGGCUAAUACCGGAUAGGAGCUCCUGCUGCAUGGUGGGGGUUGGAAAGUUUCGGCGGUUGGGGAUGGACUCGCGGCUUAUCAGCUUGUUGGUGGGGUAGUGGCUUACCAAGGCUUUGACGGGUAGCCGGCCCGAGAGGGUGACCGGCCACAUUGGGACUGAGAUACGGCCCAGACUCCUACGGGAGGCAGCAGUGGGGAAUAUUGCACAAUGGGCGGAAGCCUGAUGCAGCAACGCCGCGUGCGGGAUGACGGCCUUCGGGUUGUAAACCGCUUUCGCCUGUGACGAAGCGUGAGUGACGGUAAUGGGUAAAGAAGCACCGGCUAACUACGUG